UAGUGGGGGGAAUCAAAUAUCUCUUGGUGGAAGUGUAGAUGAGGGCCUUCUCAACAAAUGCCUAGAAAAUCAGCAAGUUUGAUUGGCUAGGGAGAGAGAUCGGGCGAAAAUGAGCUUUGGAGCAACAAUGGAGCUUGGGGAGGUGAGAGGUAGUCUUCUUGGGGAAGAAGCCCCCUUUAUAUAGUGGGGGAAAGAAUCCAACCGUUACCCCACUCUCAGCCCGAGCAAAGCGGUACUAACACUGCUAGGAGCGGUACUACCGCACGGUAGAUCCACCAACCACGGAAGUAAAAAAAAUACUUCCGUGCCUACCACCGCUGAGCCUGCGGUUGUGCAAAAGUCCGACCCAGUAGU
RNAcentral lists this long non-coding RNA (354 nucleotides) under Hordeum vulgare. RNAcentral describes it as "long non-coding RNA (HVUL_LNC017630)". Lineage: Eukaryota; Viridiplantae; Streptophyta; Magnoliopsida; Poales; Poaceae. The record is from RNAcentral.